AGAGUUUGAUCCUGGCUCAGGACGAACGCUGGCGGCGUGCCUAACACAUGCAAGUCGAGCGAAGUUAUUCCUUCGGGGAUAACUUAGCGGCGGACGGGUGAGUAACACGUGGGUAACCUGCCUUAUAGAGGGGGAUAGCCUUCCGAAAGGAAGAUUAAUACCGCAUAACAUUGAGCUUUCGCAUGGAAGCUUAAUCAAAG
This 200-nucleotide ribosomal RNA is filed under the name uncultured bacterium. RNAcentral's name for it is "partial 16S ribosomal RNA". It matches the Rfam family "Bacterial small subunit ribosomal RNA", at positions 8 to 206 of the family's 1533-position model. The record is from RNAcentral.